GACGGACGCUGGCGGCGUGCUUAACACAUGCAAGUCGAACGGAAAGGCCCUGCUUUUGUGGGGUGCUCGAGUGGCGAACGGGUGAGUAACACGUGAGUAACCUGCCCUUGACUUUGGGAUAACUUCAGGAAACUGGGGCUAAUACCGGAUAGGAGCUCCUGCUGCAUGGUGGGGGUUGGAAAGUUUCGGCGGUUGGGGAUGGACUCGCGGCUUAUCAGCUUGUUGGUGGGGUAGUGGCUUACCAAGGCUUUGACGGGUAGCCGGCCUGAGAGGGUGACCGGCCACAUUGGGACUGAGAUACGGCCCAGACUCCUACGGGAGGCAGCAGUGGGGAAUAUUGCACAAUAGGCGGAAGCCUGAUGCAGCAACGCCGCGUGCGGGAUGAAGGCCUUCGGGUUGUAAACCGCUUUCGCCUGUGACGAAGCGUGAGUGACGGUAAUGGGUAAAGAAGCACCGGCUAACUACGUG
This 468-nucleotide ribosomal RNA is filed under the name uncultured bacterium. Its description in RNAcentral is "partial 16S ribosomal RNA". It matches the Rfam family "Bacterial small subunit ribosomal RNA", at positions 28 to 507 of the family's 1533-position model. The record is from RNAcentral.